GAUAAGAACGUAGCGAAAUGCGAUACGUAAUGUGAAUUGCAGAAUUCAGUGAAUCAUCGAAUCUUUGAACGCAUAUUGCGCUCUUUGGUAUUCCGAAGAGCAUGCUUGUUUGAGUAUCAGUAAACACCUCAAAAGAUUUUCAUUUUUGAAAUGAUUUUGGACUUGAGCAAUCCCAACACCAGUCUUCACGGAUCGGCGGAGGGUUGCUUGAAAUGCAGGUGCAGCUGGACAUUCUCCUGAGCUAAAAGCAUAUCUAUUUAGUCCCGUCAAACGGAUUAUUACUUUUGCUGCAGCUAACAUAAAGGGAGUUUGACCAUUUUGGCUGACUGAUGCAGGAUUUCACAAGGGUCGGUAAAACGAUUUUUGUAAAACUCGAUCUCAAAUCAAGUAAGACUACCCGCUGAACUUAAGCAUAUCAAUAAGCGGAGGA
RNAcentral lists this unclassified non-coding RNA (430 nucleotides) under soil metagenome. RNAcentral describes it as "partial contains 5.8S ribosomal RNA, internal transcribed spacer 2, and large subunit ribosomal RNA". The stretch from base 4 to 119 matches the Rfam family "5.8S ribosomal RNA", at positions 39 to 154 of the family's 154-position model. The record is from RNAcentral.